UACAGAGGGUGCAAGCGUUAAUCGGAAUUACUGGGCGUAAAGCGAGCGUAGGCGGUUAUUUAAGUCGGAUGUGAAAUCCCCGGGCUCAACCUGGGAAUUGCAUUCGAUACUGGAUAACUAGAGUUCGGCAGAGGGAAGCGGAAUUUCUGGUGUAGCGGUGAAAUGCGUAGAUAUCAGAAGGAACAUCAGUGGCGAAAGCGGCUUCCUGGACCAGAACUGACGAUCAGGCUCGAAAGCGUGGGGAGCAAACAGG
RNAcentral lists this ribosomal RNA (253 nucleotides) under uncultured bacterium. RNAcentral describes it as "partial 16S ribosomal RNA". It matches the Rfam family "Bacterial small subunit ribosomal RNA", at positions 524 to 776 of the family's 1533-position model. The record is from RNAcentral.